This 68-nucleotide transfer RNA is filed under the name Amitermes dentatus. RNAcentral's name for it is "tRNA-Leu". Lineage: Eukaryota; Metazoa; Arthropoda; Insecta; Blattodea; Termitidae. The record is from RNAcentral.
UCUAACGUGGCAGAUAAGUGCGGUGGAUUUAAGCUCCACAAAUAAGGUCAUUAAGACUUUCAUUAGAA